CGCGGCCUAUCAGCUUGUUGGUGGGGUAAAAGCCUACCAAGGCUAUGACGGGUAGCGGGUCUGAGAGGAUGAUCCGUCACACUGGGACUGAGACACUGCCCAGACUCCUACGGGAGGCUGCAGUCGAGAAUCUUCCACAAUGGGCGAAAGCCCGAUGGAGCGACACCGCGUGCAGGAUGAAGGCCUUAGGGUUGUAAACUGCUGUCACGCUAUAGGAACCCACGGUGGUGAAUAGUCAUCGUGCUGACUAAAGCGAGAGGAAGCACCGGCUAACUCCGUGCCAGCAGCCGCGGUAAUACGGAGGGUGCAAGCGUUGUUCGGAUUCACUGGGCAUAAAGAGCACGUAGGCGGCUCGCUCAGUCGGGUGUGAAAGCCCACGGCUCAACCGUGGAACUGCACUCGAUACUGGCGAGCUCGAGGAUGGAAGGGGUGAGUGGAACUUCAGGUGGAACGGUGAAAUGUAUAGAUAUCUGAAGGAACACCGGUGGCGAAAGCGGCUCACUGGUCCAUCUCUGACGCUGAGGUGCGAAAGCUAGGGUAGCGAACGGGAUUAGAUACCCCGGUAGUCCUAGCCGUAAACGAUGGGUACUAGGCAAUGGGCUUACUUAUGAGGCUCAUUGCCGCAGCUAAUGUGUUAAGUACCCCGCCUGGGGAGUACGG
Molecule: ribosomal RNA, 660 nt
Filed under: uncultured actinomycete
Lineage: Bacteria; Bacillati; Actinomycetota; Actinomycetes; Actinomycetales
Description: bacterial SSU rRNA
Rfam family: Bacterial small subunit ribosomal RNA
Source: RNAcentral